This 253-nucleotide ribosomal RNA is filed under the name uncultured bacterium. Its description in RNAcentral is "partial 16S ribosomal RNA". It matches the Rfam family "Bacterial small subunit ribosomal RNA", at positions 526 to 779 of the family's 1533-position model. The record is from RNAcentral.
CGUAGGUGGCAAGCGUUGUCCGGAUUUAUUGGGCGUAAAGCGAGCGCAGGCGGUUCUUUAAGUCUGAUGUGAAAGCCCACGGCUUAACCGUGGAAGGUCAUUGGAAACUGGGGAACUUGAGUGCAGAAGAGGAGAGUGGAAUUCCAUGUGUAGCGGUGAAAUGCGUAGAUAUAUGGAGGAACACCAGUGGCGAAGGCGACUCUCUGGUCUGUAACUGACGCUGAGGCUCGAAAGCGUGGGAGCAAACAGGAUU